UACGUAGGGGGCAAGCGUUGUCCGGAUUUAUUGGGCGUAAAGAGCGUGUAGGCGGUUAGGUAGGUCCGUUGUGAAAACUCGAGGCUCAACCUCGAGACGCCGAUGGAAACCAUCUGACUAGAGUCCGGAAGAGGAGAGUGGAAUUCCCAGUGUAGUGGUGAAAUACGUAGAGAUUGGGAAGAACACCAGUGGCGAAGGCGGCUAUCUGGACGGUUUCUGACGCUAAGACGCGAAAGCGUGGGGAGCAAACAGG
This 253-nucleotide ribosomal RNA is filed under the name uncultured bacterium. RNAcentral's name for it is "partial 16S ribosomal RNA". It matches the Rfam family "Bacterial small subunit ribosomal RNA", at positions 524 to 776 of the family's 1533-position model. The record is from RNAcentral.